UUGAAAGGGAAACGAUUGAAGUCAGUCGUACCAGCGGGAAAUCAACCUUUCGAGUGGGGUUUUGGGGUUUUGAAGAGUGUUAAGCCUUUGAGAUUUCGAAACGUUCGCUCUUUUGGUGUACUUUCUCGUAGGUAGGUUAGCAUCGAUUUUGAUCAUCAUAAAAAGAUUGGAGGAAUGUAGCUUCGAUCUCGUAUUGAAGUGUUAUAGCCUUUGGUAAAUGUGAUGGUUAGGAUCGAGGAUUGCAACGAAUCCCCUUUUGGGCUAUCCGCCUGAUCUCUGAUACGUGGCCUUGGUAUCGAAAGCGUGCUUAUCGUUACGUUAUUCCGGUCAAGAGGCUAGAAUCCGAUCACAUCGCUUAAGGAUGUUGACGUA
Molecule: ribosomal RNA, 372 nt
Filed under: uncultured Glomeromycotina
Lineage: Eukaryota; Fungi; Glomeromycota
Description: LSU rRNA
Source: RNAcentral